CAUGAUACUGGAGCCAGAUGGGAGACCUUGAUUCAAAUCCCAGAUCAACCUGAAUACCCCAGGUGCGUUGUGUGUGCCCGUGAUCCUGGCUGGCUGUGCGGCUUGGGAGGACCACAAUGUAAGGAAAGGAAGCUUCAUUCCAGAAUCACUAUUCUACCCAAGGGUUCUUCUGAAGCAGUGAUAACAUCAUACAGCCACACAUUAUAAAGACUUUGAAUUCUUCUUCUCCAAGAGGCUCAAUUUGUCAUUCCUUUCCUGUCUGUAGUCCUGCUGGGGGAGGAAAUACCUCACCACAAGUUUGUUACCACCUUCACGAGUUUAGGAGUUGGGAUUUAAGGUUCGUCUCAGGGCAGAGAGCUUUCGCCUUGAAAUCCAAGCUUCAUCUUUUUCCAUUUUCCCCAUCAUAGGUAAUGUUAUCCUCCACAGGAACUCUAUCAUUUCCUCUGCUCCAGCCACUUUUAUUUUCCAAGAGACAUUCAUUCUCGUUCAUUCUCAUCAGUUUCUGUUGUCUAGCCCAGAAUAUAAGCGUUGGUUGGAGAAUACUGGGGGCUGGCUAGCCUGCUUGUUAUUUAAUGUCAGCCUAAUACUGAAGGCUGGCUAGCCUGCUUGUUUUUUUUCUUCUUUUUGGAGAGGUUUUU
Molecule: long non-coding RNA, 638 nt
Organism: Tupaia belangeri chinensis (Chinese tree shrew)
Lineage: Eukaryota; Metazoa; Chordata; Mammalia; Scandentia; Tupaiidae
Exons: 3
Source: RefSeq, a predicted model, not a curated record